CGCUCCCGCCGCCGGGCCGCCAGCGCGCGGCGGGCCGUUGGGAGGCGGGAAAGGGUCGCCCGGGGCCGAGCAGACGGCAGGUCAAAUUCGGAUAUCUUGAAGCAAAAUCUUCAGUCUGUCAAGGGGGAAUGUGAUGUCUGGAAAGGCUGCUGCAGAAGAGCUGGCAGACCAGAGGAACAGCCUGAGCAGAAAGCCUCAUACUUCUGCUGCAUACAAGCUCCUGUUAACUGUUCAGGUCCUGAAGAAAGCACAAAACCCAGAAAUCCUAAAAUGACCAAUAUGCAAAGUAAAAGCAGACUUUGUGAUAUACCUGGUGGCCAUUUUUGAUGUCAGCGUGUGGCCCUCAACCUAUUCCUCAUCCUGAGCUUUGCCUUCAGCACAGAAGUUUCAAAAUUGCCUUCUCCCCUGUCGCCACUGAAGAAAAGAGGACCUUUGCAAAUGCUGCCUCUGGUUGUGAUCGGCAAGCUGAGCAUGUUCAAAUUAAGGGAAGUAUUGCUCUGAAUGAAUUAUCAUGAAACAUUUGUGCUCGUUCAUCGUGUCACUUGCAGAAUAUGUUUUACAUAGUUUUUACAUAAAAUAGUGUGAGACAUAAAGGGGCCUUGGACAGCAGCUAAGACAUGGGCCUUCUCUCCACCCAUCCAUGGAUGAGAUGGGCUGCUUCUGCUCUAAGCUCCCUAACAGUGGGCUCCCGUGUGCUUAGAUGCUGCCAUUUAGCUCUCCUUCCGGUAAACCCCUGAAGGAAGCCAGUGGUUCAAGUGGAGACUGAAUGCUAACCUGAUAGUUAGAUGCCCUGUAUUUUCAAGGUAGACCAUUAUUUCAAACUGUUCACCAGAUCCCUUGCAGAAUGGGAGCUACAGGACUGUGACUGUCCUCUGCUGGUUUGCAGAUAGCGGUGAUCUUAUAUUCUACCAUGGUCCCCUCUGGCUGUGAGUCCUUUCUGCCCACCAAACAUACAUUUGCUGUGCUCCAUAUCACUGUUUUUCCUGAAUACUUCCAAAAGCUAGGCUUUUCCUUGAUACAAGGCAAAAAAUCCCCAAUCAACGGCUAUAUAUUUUAAAAAGUCAAAAGAUAGAUUGUUCAGUUGACAAUAUGUCAUUUCAUUAUUUGUUACUUAGGUGCUUCUUAAUCUGAUUUUCCUGUUUCAUAUUUUUCCUGCACUGUAAAGUUUGGUUCUCAUUCUUUGGUUUUGGUCUCAGUAAUGAAAUUAGACACCAGCCAAAGUGACACAGGUCUAUCAAAUAGGUGCUGGCAUCGAGGGAUUUACUGGGCAAAGGAAUCCCUAAGCUGUACAUAAAAACAUCAAAUGGCGUAUCUGGUAAAGUAUAUGUUGACUUCAAGGGAAACAUUAUAGAACUCUUUAGAGCCUUGAGAAUGGCGAGACAUGAAUUAUGCUGAUAUAUGUCCACAUUACUGUUUCAUUGAGGAAGAUAAGGAUAAAACAGGAAAAUCAAUCAUAUUCGAGCAAUCCAGAACUACCAAAUACAUCUUCAACUGC
Phalacrocorax carbo (great cormorant) is the source of this 1495-nucleotide non-coding RNA. Lineage: Eukaryota; Metazoa; Chordata; Aves; Suliformes; Phalacrocoracidae. The record is from RefSeq and is a predicted model, not a curated record.